Molecule: ribosomal RNA, 497 nt
Filed under: uncultured bacterium
Lineage: Bacteria
Description: partial 16S ribosomal RNA
Rfam family: Bacterial small subunit ribosomal RNA
Source: RNAcentral
GAUGAACGCUGGCGGCGUGCCUAACACAUGCAAGUCGAGCGAACAAACGAGGAUUUGUCUCCUCUGACGUUAGCGGCGGGCGGGUGAGUAACACGAGGAUAACUUACCUAUAAGAAUGAUAUACGGUAGGGAAACCGUAUCCAACACCGGAUAUGAUGUUGAACCGCGGGGUUCAUUAGGAAAAAACGUUUUUGCUGUGACUAGUUCGUGGAUCUUCGCCGUUUUAGUUAGUUGGUAAGGAAACGGCCUACCAAGGCAACGACGCGUAGACGACCUGAGAGGGUGAUCGGCCACACUGGAACUGAGACACGGUCCAGACUCCUACGGGAGGCAGCAGUAGGGAAUCUUCGGCAAUGGGCGAAAGCCUGACGCAGCAACGCCGCGUGAGUGAUGAAGGUCUUCUGAUAGUAAAACUCUGUUAUUAGGGGAGAACAAAUGUGUGAGUAAAUAUGGCCGUAUUGACGGUACCUACAGAGAAAGCCCCGGCUAACUACGUG